RNAcentral lists this long non-coding RNA (41793 nucleotides) under Spirodela polyrhiza (greater duckweed). Its description in RNAcentral is "long non-coding RNA (SPOL_LNC001567)". Lineage: Eukaryota; Viridiplantae; Streptophyta; Magnoliopsida; Alismatales; Araceae. The record is from RNAcentral.
UUCUAAUAACCUCUUCUCUUGACCAGGGAAACCAGGUUUUACAAAGAAACAAGCAGACCUCUUCUUUCCUCCUGAUUUUGCUGAUGACUUCCCAGUGGCGAUGCAGGUUUGUACAAUGCUGUCAAACUUAGCUUAUUUGUUUACCCUGUCAAAUUAUUGAAUUGUUGAGUUGGUCUGUGGCAGAUCUCAAAUAAGUACAGUUUGAUAUAUGUGAUCACAAAGCUCGGACUUCUAUUUGUUUAUGAUCUGGAAACAGCUACUGCUGUUUACAGAAAUCGCAUUAGUGCAGAUCCUAUAUUUUUGACAUCAGAAGCUUCGUCCAUAGGAGGGUUUUAUGCUGUGAAUAGGAAAGGCCAGGUGCUGCUCGCAACUGUCAAUGAAGCAACAAUCGUGCCCUUUGUCAGUGGCCAAGUAUGUCUCGAUGUCUAUACUUUCUUGAUUUCUAAUGCAACAAUUUGAAUACGACCCUUACAACCGUUUGGAACAUUGCAGUUAAACAAUCUGGAGCUAGCUGUUAAUCUUGCCAAAAGAGGAAAUCUUCCAGGAGCAGAGAAUUUGGUAAUUAUGUUUGUCUAAUUUUUGGCACUGUUUAUGCGUUGACAUAGCAAUAGAUGGCGAUAGAGUAUCUUUCACUUAGCUAUUCAUCAUUGUCUUGAAACAUCGAUUUGUUUGUUGUAGUGGUUGGUGAGUUUUUCCAAGACUUUUUUUCAUCUCGGUUCUUCCUAUUGUAGAUUCAUGUAUGCAUCAGUUAAUUGCUAGUUGAAUUUGAUUUAGUAGAUGAAUUAUUUUUCUUUAAGUUGACUGAUUUCCUAUUCAAAACAUAAACUAUCUGGAAUGCAACUUAAAAAAUGUGGAAAAUGUGAACAAGCCCUUAGUUGAAUGAAGAAUUAUUAAGGCAACAUAGAUCAUUCUUUUUUAUGGUUGUGGAUAAUAACUUGAAUGGAUGUGAGAAAACCGUUGUAUCUAUUAUUGAUGCAUGUUCUGCCAGAAGUUUCAAGCUAUUGUCAUGUUGGUUAUGCAUAGAUAUGGGGCUUUAAGUAAGGUCUGGGUAUCGUGGUUUCUAUAUGUGUUCCCUUGAACAUUGGCAUCUUGUCACACCACCAGUGUUGGCUAAAACUGCUUUUUUGUGGGCAACACAGUCCAGUAUGAUUUCUUACCCUGUUUCUCUGUCUCAGGUUGUUCAACGAUUCCAGGAGUUAUUCUCACAGACAAAAUAUAAGGAGGCUGCAGAACUUGCUGCUGAGUCUCCUCAGGGCCUUCUUCGCACUCCAGAGACUGUUGCAAAAUUUCAGGUCCUGAUUUGCUGUUAUUAUUUCUUGAUGCCUGCGUUUAUUAUCUCUUUAAUUGUUAUCUGGCCUGCCUUUGUGGCCUUAUUCUACAAUGUAUUUUGGUUCCUGUGUAUUUUAACAAUAGAUGUUUGAAUAUUUUCUUGUUCUUUUUUUAAAAAUCAUGCAUGCAAAAUGAAAACUGGUUCCUCUCUAGUGAUGCAUCUCAUGACUUGCCGUUUAUGAAGUUUUACUUAUUUAAAUACCCUUGUGCAGAGUGUCCCAGUGCAAGCUGGACAAACUCCACCACUAUUGCAGUAUUUUGGUACACUGUUAACAAGAGGGAAACUCAAUAUAUUUGAGUCUCUGGAGUUGUCCCGGCUUGUUGUUAAUCAGAACAAGAAGAACCUAUUAGAAAAUUGGUUAGCUGAGGACAAGCUCGAGUGCAGUGAAGAGCUCGGAGAUCUUGUGAAGGUGAGUUUGGAAUGCUCUGGUACCAGUUUUUUUGUCUAAGAGAUAUCUGUCAUAAUGAACAUUAGAUAUACGUAGUUCAAUGUUUUAAAUAUUAUGAAAAGUAUUAUUUUAAUAUUUCAUUUUCUUUUGAUUGCAGACAGUGGAUAAUGACCUUGCACUAAAAAUAUAUAUUAAAGCAAGGGCCACUCCAAAAGUAGUUGCAGCUUUUGCGGAAAGGAGGGAAUUUGACAAGAUUCUUAUCUAUUCAAAGCAGGUAUUUGAAGUGGCUGCGAUAUUGGAAUGUUUUAAUGUGACAAUCACUCUUAUAGUUAUCUGUAUAUUUUGAUUCAGACCUAAGAUUCUCUCACUACAAUCCUUGGUGCACUCAUUCAUUUUUCUCAUUUCCUGAAUGCAGGUUGGAUACACGCCUGACUAUCUUUUCCUCUUGCAAACGAUUCUGCGAUCAGAUCCUCAGGUAUCCUGUCCCAAAUGCCUUACAAAUGCUUUCAAAUUUUAGGUCUAAGUGUUGAACAAUUACUUGCAACAAUUUGCUUCGUAUUAGUUUACGUUAAAAUUAUUACUUUUGACCUUCGGCUAUUCAUGUUGCAUUUGCACGUUUAUAUUGCUUUGUUAUGUGUACUCUGAAAUUUCAUGCCAUUUUAUUUCUUAGAUUGUUUUUCAACAACAAUCUCUCAAUGCAGGGUGCAGUUAACUUCGCUCUCAUGAUGUCACAAAUGGAAGGCGGUUGCCCGGUUGACUACAACACAAUUACAGACCUUUUUCUGCAGGUUUGUCCAAUCAUUUCCCCAUUUUAUGCCCAUAUUUUGACUGGCUUUCACACAUUAUCGAGAACCUAUUAUCUUUUUUCUUCGUAAGUUUUACUAAUUGCUUUUCUGUUCCUCUGUUAUGUUUUAGAGGAACAUGAUUCGAGAGGCAACAGCCUUCUUGUUGGAUGUUUUAAAACCAAACUUACCAGAGCACGCUUUCCUCCAAACUAAGGUCAUCAUUGCUGCUUUCUACUGUCUCUAUAAUAUUUCUUUACAAAAAAACAGAAAAUUUAUGUUCUCUAUUCUCUCCUUUCAUGUAUACGCCGCUAACUUUCUUUGGUAUCAUUCUUGAUAGGUCUUAGAGAUCAAUCUUGUGACAUACCCAAAUGUUGCAGAUGCUAUAUUAGCAAAUGGAAUGUUUAGUCAUUAUGAUCGCCCCCGGAUUGCUCAAUUGUGUGAAAAAGCUGGCCUUUAUAUGCGAGCCCUUCAGGUUUUAUCUUUCUCAUAUGUCUGAAUCUCAGAGGUGAAUUUCAUGCCCUUUUAAUUAACAAACAACUUCAUAUUGUCAGCAUUACUCUGAGCUGCCUGAUAUCAAGCGAGUUAUAGUGAAUACUCAUGCGAUUGAGCCCCAGGUUUGAUUUCGAUUAUUGUCCUCCUUUGUUUAGAGAAAUUUAUUUUUGGUUCUGAAUUAUGAAACAUUUUUAGGCACUCGUUGAGUUCUUUGGAACUCUUUCAAAAGAGUGGGCGCUGGAGUGUAUGAAAGAUCUUCUCUUGGUGAAUUUGAGGGGAAAUCUGCAGAUAAUUGUGCAGGUAUUUUUCUCUUAACUGUCCCAAUCAGGUAUAUUGCCAAUAUUUUGUGAGGUUCUGAUUGACCUCUCUUCUGCAGGCAGCUAAAGAGUAUUCUGAGCAGCUUGGUGUUGAUUCGUGCAUAAAGCUUUUUGAGCAAUUUAAGUCAUACGAGGGUCUGUACUUCUUCUUGGGAUCAUAUCUAAGCUCCAGGUGCCUGCAUGAAGAAACCCCCUUUGGUCCAAACACGCCUUUUUCAUUUCUUUGUGCGAUGACUUUCCCUUGUCCUGACUCUUUUUUCAUUGUACAGCGAAGACCCUGGUAUUCACUUCAAAUAUAUUGAGGCUGCAGCCAAAACCGGUCAAAUUAAGGAAGUUGAACGUGUCACCAGAGAAUCUAACUUCUAUGAUCCUGAGAAGACAAAAAAUUUUCUGAUGGAGGCAAAAUUACCAGAUGCACGGCCACUCAUUAAUGUUUGUGACCGUUUUGGUUUUGUUCCUGAUCUUACCCACUAUUUGUACGCAAACAAUAUGCUUCGGUACAUUGAGGGUUAUGUUCAGAAGGUACGAUUUAGUUGGAAGGGCUCUAUCUGCUAUUUUAUGUAUCACUUGCAUUUUGAUAUCCUUUAAUAUAUGUGAUGGCUGUUUUAUUUAACUUUGGAAUUGGAAAGAUGACGUGCCACAUCUCUAUCUCAGGUCAAUCCUGGAAAUGCUCCGCUAGUUGUUGGUCAACUGCUAGAUGAUGAGUGUCCAGAGGAUUUCAUCAAGGGGCUUAUCCUUUCUGUGCGGUCUCUUCUUCCAGUGGAGCCACUCGUGGAUGAAUGCGAGAAAAGGUACUCCACAACUUACUCACAAAGAAAUAUCUUCUAUGAUCUUUAUUUGUGACUGAUUGCGUGACUGAAUGCUAGGAAUCGCCUUCGGCUGCUUACCCAAUUCUUGGAGCAUCUAGUGAGUGAAGGGAGCCAAGACGUGCAUGUACACAAUGCGUUGGGUAAAAUUAUCAUAGAUAGCAACAAUAACCCCGAGCACUUCCUCACAACCAACCCAUACUACGAUUCACGUGUUGUGGGCAAGUACUGCGAGAAAAGGGACCCUACACUUGCGGUUGUUGCAUACAGGAGGGGACAAUGUGAUGAAGAACUCAUCAAUGUCACUAACAAAAACUCGUUAUUUAAGCUGCAAGCCAGGUUGGUAUACUAUUUAGCAUUGCCCUUCCAUAUUCUUAUCGCUCUCCUCUAGAAAAAGGAGAUUGUAGCCGUUAAGCUGAGUCUUAGUUUGUUGCUUACAGAUAUGUGGUGGAAAGGAUGGAUGCUGAUCUUUGGGAGAAGGUUCUCCUCCCUGAUAAUGAAUAUCGACGACAGCUUAUCGAUCAAGUUGUGUCUACGGCUUUGCCUGAAAGCAAGAGCCCAGAGCAGGUUUCUGCAGCUGUUAAAGCUUUCAUGACUGCAGAUCUUCCACAUGAGCUUAUCGAGCUGCUUGAAAAGAUUGUCCUCCAAAAUUCUGCCUUCAGUGGGAACUUUAAUUUGCAGAAUCUUCUAAUUUUAACAGCCAUUAAAGCUGAUACUUCAAGGGUCAUGGAUUAUGUAAAUAGGUUGGACAAUUUUGACGGACCUGCGGUUGGAGAAGUGGCAGUUGAAGCACAGCUUUAUGAAGAAGCCUUUGCAAUAUUUAAGAAGUUUGACUUAAAUGUUCAGGCAGUUAAUGUCCUCCUCGAUAACAUCAGAAGCAUUGAUCGUGCUGUAGAAUUUGCUUUCCGUGUUGAAGAAGAUGCCGUCUGGAGUCAGGUCGCCAAGGCUCAACUUAGGGAAGGUCUUGUGAGUGAUGCAAUCGAGUCAUUUAUUCGCGCAGACGAUGCAACGCAUUUCCUGGAUGUUAUUCGAGCUGCUGAGGACACAAAUGUGUAUCAUGACCUUGUAAAGUACUUGUUGAUGGUUAGGCAGAAGGUCAAGGAGCCGAAGGUGGACAGUGAGCUCAUCUAUGCAUUUGCAAAGAUUGACAGGCUGGGUGAUAUUGAAGAAUUCAUUCUCAUGCCCAAUGUUGCUAACCUUCAAAAUGUUGGCGACCGUCUCUACGAUGAAGCCUUAUAUGAGGCGGCAAAGAUUAUAUUUGCUUUCAUUUCUAACUGGGCCAAGUUGGCUAGUACUCUGCUGAAGCUAAGACAAUUUCAAGGUGCGGUUGAUGCAGCUCGUAAAGCUAACAGUGCAAAGACGUGGAAGGAAGUUUGUUUUGCCUGUGUGGAUGCUGAGGAGUUCCGCCUGGCUCAAAUGGCUGGACUCAAUAUCAUAGUACAGGUACUUGCUUUGUUACUCCCUCUUGACCUUGUUCCUUUGGUUCGCUUCAGAGCGUGCGAUUAUCACAUUGCAUGUCAAACAUAAGUUAGCCAGUACAGCUCUAAUCUAGUCAACCAAUCCGAAAUUUUCCAUUCUUAUCCUCGUUCUUGGCGCACUCUGGCCGAUUCAUCCCUUUCUAAAUUCAAUAGAUUAGUGUCACUUUAUCCUAAUCCACUUUCUGAUUUUUAGUUUCUUUUUAGUAGCUCAUGAUAAUGAUAUUGAUAAUGGUAAUGGUAACCCUUAAUCUUUCGACGCCAAUAUUGUAGGUGGAUGACAUGGAAGAAGUCAGCGAAUAUUAUCAGAAUAGAGGGUGUUUCAAUGAGAUUAUCUCUCUCAUGGAGAGCGGCCUCGGAUUGGAUCGCGCUCACAUGGGCAUUUUCACUGAGUUGGGUGUUUUGUAUGCAAGAUAUCGACAUGAGAAACUCAUGGAGCACAUUAAACUUUUCUCAACUCGCCUGAACAUUCCAAAGCUCAUAAGAGCAUGUGACGAGCAGCAACACUGGAAGGAGCUAACCUAUCUUUAUAUUCAGUAUGAUGAGUUCGACAAUGCUGCCACAACAAUCAUGAAUCACUCUCCGGAAGCAUGGGAUCACAUGCAGUUCAAAGAUGUCGUGGUUAAAGUGGCGAACGUUGAACUUUACUACAAAGCAGUUCACUUCUACUUGCAGGAGCAUCCAGACCUUAUCAAUGAUAUCCUCAACGUGCUUGCCCUUCGCAUCGAUCAUACACGUGUGGUAGAUAUAAUGAGAAAGGUGUGCUCACGUCUUUGCCAUUUGUUGUUACACUCAUCAGGCCUAGCAUAUUAUGCGAUUUCAGCUAGGAAGAUACGAUGUGGGAGAAACUAUUCUUCUUCAUAUUCUUAAUAUCAUUGCGUUUUAAUAUUCCUGUGCAUUUUCAGGCCGGUCAUUUACGCCUGGUGAAGCCAUACAUGGUCGCAGUGCAGAGCAACAACGUGGCCGCUGUGAAUGAGGCUCUGAAUGAAAUUUAUGUGGAGGAGGAGGAUUAUGACAGGUUGAGAGAAUCAAUUGACCUGCACGAUAACUUUGAUCAGAUUGGCCUCGCUCAGAAGGUAAAAAUUUGUUUUCUCUACCUAGUUGGUGCUUACUUUCAAAAAUUUCAUGCUGUUCUGCUAAAUCCGCUCUUGCAAAAUGUGGUUAGACUGAAAAGCACGAGCUUCUUGAGAUGCGGCGCAUUGCUGCAUACAUUUACAAGAAGGCUGGCAGAUGGAAGCAGUCUAUCGCACUGUCCAAGAAGGACAAGCUGUACAAGGAUGCCAUGGAGACGUGCUCCCAGUCUGGUGACCGUGAGCUUUCAGAGGAGUUGCUGGUGUACUUCAUCGAGCAGGUCUCUGCCGAUUACUCUACCAUCAUAUUACGUUUACUUAAACGAGAUCCCCACAUCAAAAGAAGAAUCCUGGCUACUUCAUUUAAGCGCUUUCAUGGCAUAAUUUUUUUUUUUUUUUCAAUGCCUUAGAACCACGAACCAGGAUGAUGCCUGCUACUCCCCUGUUUGAUUUCCCUCCCCUCCCAUUUCCGUUUGAGCAGUAGCUAAGCGUGCUCGUCGGUUUAUCUGCAGGGGAAGAAGGAAUGCUUCGCGUCUUGCCUCUUCAUUUGCUACGAUCUGAUUCGACCAGAUGUGGCUCUCGAACUGGCCUGGAUGAACAACAUGAUCGAUUUCGCUUUCCCGUACCUUCUCCAGGUAAAUGCCAUGGAAACGCUCGGUAGCCUCCACUUACGGCUCAGCUUCUGUGACCCCUUCCUCCUCACCCAAGUCCCCCAUGCUUGCAGUUCAUCCGCGAGUACGCCGGUAAGGUAGACGAGCUCGUGAAGGACAAGCUGGAGGCCCUCAGCGAGGUGAAGGCCAAGGAGAAGGAAGAGAAGGAGAUGGUCGCCCAGCAGGUAGCGAGCUGUUUUAACCCCCGCUCUCCUCGUCUGCUACUUCGUCUUCAUUUUUUUGCUUCAGUCAGGAUUGCCCUCCAUGAACGUCCUUUGUGAAAUUCUUCUACCCGCCUUCUUCCAGAAUAUGUACGCACAGCUCCUGCCUCUCGCCCUGCCGGCUCCCCCGGGCGUCGGCGGCAUGGGCGGCCCCUACGGAAUGCCGCCGCCCAUGCCCGGCAUGGGGAUCCCCCCGAUGCCGGCGUACGGUAUGCCGCCGAUGGGCGGCUACUGAUCGCAGCCUCGAGGCCCGUCAUCUUCUUCUCCGUGCAUUCACUGAGCAGCGUGGCAAGCUUCGGCCUCGGUAACCAACCAAUAAUAAUAUCCUAUUUGCAGAAUCUAUCUAGGGCUCACACUCCUCUCUUCAUCUUUCGUGAAGGCUCUUAGAACCCCGUGGCUCCCGUUUGAGGCUCGGCUUGGCCGUCUUUCUUCUUUUUUUCCUCGAUCGGUUUCUCUCGAGAACAUAGGCUUCUGCGGCUGUGAUCCUCCUGCCGUCUGUGGAUUUGCUGUGCAUACGACUCUGAAGCUUUUAAUGGCAUAUAUGGUGUUCUUCUCCGUGCUCUUCUUCUGCCGCCCGGUGGUGGAUGCGUCUCCAUUGCUGCUACAAACGCCGCGGCAGAAGUCGCCGGUUAUCUGCCAUGUUGACUAUCCCAGCUGACUGACCCUCGUUUAAAUCUGAUGUCAACCGCGCUAAGAAGACACCGGCUAGCCAGCACCGUGUUUUGACUCGGAAACAAGGGUGGAUGAGAGUCAACUACCCUAAGAACGUCUCGGCCUCGGCUGUUUCAUCCUGGUCGUAAAUCUGCAUAUUUUACCAGAUACCAGUCACAGAAAAAAUCAAACAAUGAAAAAUGUUCUCAUUUAAAGAGCCUUUUUUUUCUAUCCGGGAUUUGACUGACAGACUUAUUGGUCAACCGAGCGCCAGGAGAUUCCGAUAGGAUCUACAGCGGGACCUUUAAUUUAUUUAUCAGGUGGGAGGGGAGACAGACAGGACGGCCCAGCAGAGACAGAGCCCUUGGAAAUGGCAACUGAGGGCGACAACCCCUGGAAUGAUCGGCCACGGGUUCUUUAAAAACGUUCAAAGCCGUUGCUUAAUAUGCGGGUUAUUUACCUUGCUUGCUGCUCGAAUUCUCUCUCUUCAUGUCGGCCCCCUGGCGGCUGGUUCCGGCGACCUCCCGUGAUAUUUAUUUCUAGGGUUCCCGAUGCCUCUGCCGGAACCCACGGCGCGCAUGAAGCGUGAAAUCUACGGUCUGGUCUCGACGUUCGGCUGUGAUGGGACGGCAGGGGGAGGGGGCGGCGCCGCCUGCUCCACGCGUUAACGUAUGGUGCACCGGGAGCAGGAAUUUUUCUAACCUUUGUAAAUUUAUGGAGCCAAGGCACCGCCAACGGUCGAUGACGUGAGGGGGCCGCAGCGAGUCACGUUCCUUGUCGCCAUCUGAUCCGAAAUCUAUCCCCGGGCCUCACCUGAUGCCAGUGACGUGAUGUCCUUUCCCUACCACCUCUCUCUCUCUCUAUCUCUCUCUCUCUCUCUACCUCUGCUGUGACCCUGAAACCCGGACGCGGGAGGCGGCCGCCAAUAGCGCUUGUGAUCAGAGCACGCACUCGUGUGGUGAAGACGUUUCAACGCUCCACCGACACAGUGGUCGAGAUAGCGCAAUGGUAGCAAGUCCCUUACGUCAGCUCCGCCGCUUUUUCCAUCGUCAACGACGGAGGGCAACACGACCCUCCGUGCAUUCCUGGAACUCUCUACGUGUCAAGCGAAGAUGUUUCGGCAGAAAGGUCAACGGGUCUGCUGAAAGGUUUUUGUUCCAUCGGGGGCACAUUUGGUUCCAAUCUGAUCGGAUCUUCUUCUUCUCCAAGCUGCGGCGCCUCUGGAGAGCUCGAGGGAUCCGAUGCUCUGGGAACUCCCCGGCAGGGUUCCAGACCGGAAGCGCCACCGGGUAGACUUCUGAGGUCUCCAGGGGGUCCAUAAGCCUGUCGACUUCAAGCCGACGUGACCUGUCUCUUGAGCAGGUCUCUGCGAUCCGCCGUCGACGGUGGCCCGCCGCCGAUCGAUCAUCGGCGGGCGGCGCCGGAAAGGGCGGUUCCGUGGUUAAUCCUCCGCCGUCAUGUUUCGCGCAAGCGGCGCCCGAAAGCGAUUGGGGAGAGCGCCGGUGCGGCGCCAGAAACGGGCGGGCACGGCGGCUGCCCGCCGGAAGCUCUCCUCUUCCAGUUUUCGGCAGAGACCCCACUCGCGCCGGCCGUAACAGGCCGGACAGUGCACGAGCAUCCCCCGGCGGCGGUCGCCCGCCUUCUGGCAGAUCUUGGUCAGGCCGUCUCCCAUCUUCCGGCGAUGGCAGUGUCAACGCAGGACAAUCGCCCGGCACUGAUUCGAAGAGCUCGUCAAACGGGUUCUGGACAGGGUGAAAGCCAGACCCCGUGGAUAGAUAAUCCCCGCAUAAAAACUCCAACUUGGCGACGAUCAUUCGCCGAUUUUUCCUCCUGGUCGGUAAAAAUCACGGCGCCCAGCUUUUUCUUUAAACUGUAAUGCCGAGAGUUAAUCGACGCCCUCGAUCGGGGAGGAAAUCGGGAUGCGGGUGAGAGCAACGGGGGUCGCCCAAUCGUUGACGGGACCGCAAGGCGCAAUCCGAGAGUGACAGAUCGGCGGCGAACUCACUGUCGCAGCCGGCCGCCGCGUUGGGAUCGGGUGGAAAGGGAGGGUGAAAGGCUCCCAAAUUUACCUCGGCGGGGGAAGCCCCUCGGCGGAGAUGGUCCCGCCUUCAAAUAAUACGCCUCAUUGAAUGCGUUUCACAACUCCCUGGACGGACUUCCAACUGCUGAGAGCUCUUCCCUCCCCCACUGGCCACACACUGCCCACAUUUCCGUUCCUCCGCCCGUCAAAUCCAGCCUUCUUCUCCUUCUUCCUCGCAGCACCCCCCCCCCCCCCCCGUUCUCUCUCUCUCCCUCUCUCUCUUUCUCUCUCCUCUCUCCCGCCCUUCUCUUGGUGUAUCAGUCAGUCGAGCGCAAUGUACUCCGGAGUCCAGCCCCGCGCAGCGGCAGAGGGAUCGAGCUCCAGGGUACAUUCUCCACACUCUUGCUUUCGAUUCCGGUGGUUAACCCAGUCGAUUGGAGCUCCUCGUCUUCUCCCCGCCGGCCUUCUCGGAGGGGCACACUGCGUGUCACUGUGCCGGCUGCUGAAGCUCUUUCUCUGCGAGCCGUCGCGGAUUCCGUUGCCCUGCCGGUUCCUCUCUGCCUACCACGUCUGCAACUUCUGAGAGCUUGUUGUUGCUGGUUUCUUGGUCAAAUUGGAAGAAUGGGGGGAACACCCGCCACGGUUUCUCCCCUCCUCAUGUCUCGAUGAUCUACUAGGGCUAGCCAGAUCCUUUUUUCCUCGACGAGCUUCUUCCAUGCUCGCCUCCGGCGCAGAUUCGUUUUCCCCAUUAUUUUUCCUCUCAGGAAUCUGGGGCACUGUAAAUCGCGUGAUUCAUCCGAAGCUUUAUCGUUUUAUAUCCAUCCCGGCUCGCAUUAUGAACACAGAAAAAAUUCGAUCGGAGACCCCCUUUUCCUCAUCUCCGUUCCCCAUGGAUGCGAACUCAGGCGUGACCCGGGUAACCUCUCUGUUCGACCAGCAGCCCAAGAAAUCCCCCUGGAAGGACGUGCUGCUGCUCUCCUAUCAGAGUCUCGGAGUUGUCUACGGCGAUCUGAGCACCUCCCCUCUCUACGUCUACAAGACGACCUUCUCCGGGAAGCUAAGCCUCCAUGAAGACGACGAGGAAGUUCUCGGAGUGCUGUCCUUCAUCUUCUGGACCCUCACUCUCAUCCCCCUCUUCAAGUACAUCUUCAUCGUGCUGUCAGCCGACGACAACGGCGAAGGUACAGACCCCGCCUGGUUUUUCUUCAUCAAGAAUGGAUUCACCUCUCUGCAGGCUUCAUCAACAUAAGCAACCAGCAAGGCUUUCUCUCCUGAACAUCAACAUGAGCUUCACUCUGGUUUUCUACUAAAUUUGCAGGUGGUACCUUUGCACUGUACUCACUGCUGUGCCGCCAUGCGAGGCUAAGCCUCCAACCCAAUCAGCAGCGCAUUGAUGAGAAGCUGUCUUCUUACAAGGCGGAGGUUGGGGUGGAGACCCGGCAGAGCUCCAGGAUCAAGGGGUUUUUCAGUAAGCAUCCGAGAUACCGGCAUGGGCUGCUCAUCGUGGUUCUCUUCGGAACCUGUAUGGCCAUUGGCGACGGGGUGCUCACGCCGACAAUAUCAGGUUCCCUGCCGGCGAGAUGAUUUACCUUUUUUUUUUUUUGUUAACGUUUCAAGAUCUCCGCUGAUUGAUUUCUUCGGUAAAUUUCCGUUUAUUCCGCUUUUUGGACGCUCUAGAACAUGAUUUCCGGCACGAUUCCAGUCGUCUGCGAAGAAUUCCAUGUGGAACAAAUUCAGUCAUCUGUGAAGAAUUUCUUCCAUCUGUGUCCUAAACCCUCCCCCCGGAUUGAGCAUUUGAGCUUUUGUCUGAAGAAUUCAGAGUGCAGUCCCUCUGAACCUCGUGGUUUUUAUUAUAUCCAUGAGCUCAAAAAGGCAAAUCCUUUGAAGCUUCUGAAGGCGCGAUUAAAUUGGGUCAAGUCCCUUGGAGAGAGGGAGCGAGAAGGAUACGACCCACGUCGCAAAUUAAUGAUUCUACGUGGAAAUCAGUUCAGAUGGGAAUAAUUGUGGGUUUGGUUCUUCUGGGUGGCCUCCAUAUUUUACAUAUUAACUUGGUUUUUUCAUAAUCGGCAUUAUAUUUUCUCUUGAAUUCAUCCUCUUCUCUUCACAGUUUUAACGUUUCUAUGUUUUUUUUUAAUUAUUUUUCCCCAGUUCUUUCAGCGGUAUCAGGCGUGAGGGUGAAGCUGACGCAUCUGCACGAAAGUAAGUCAACCUCCUGCUGCAGCCAAGAGUGCUCAGAAUCGGACAUCUCCCGCGUAUAACGAUCCAACUCGCUUUUCAGACUAUGUUGUGGCGAUCUCAUGCAUCAUCUUGGUGGGCCUCUUCUCUCUCCAGCACCACGGCACCCACCGGGUCGCCUUCAUCUUCGCUCCGAUCGUUGCAGCCUGGCUUCUCUGCAUCAGCUCCAUCGGAGUGUACAACAUAGCCCGGUGGAAUCCGGGCAUAUUCCGUGCCAUUUCACCCUCCUACCUCGUCAGGUUCCUCAGGGCCACCGGGGCCGAAGGAUGGGUUUCCCUUGGAGGGGUCGUUCUCUGCAUUACAGGUAAGAUCAGAUAGAUUACCUUCUUGUACAUAAAUAGAUAUAUAUAUAUAUAUAGAUAGAUAGAUAGAUAGAUAGAUAGAGAGAGAGAGAGAGAGAGAGAGAGAGAGAGAGAGAGAGAGAGAGAGAGAGAGAGAGAGGAGGAGGAGNNNNNNNNNNNNNNNNNNNNGAGAGAGAGAGAGGAUGAAUGAAGAAGGGGGGGAAUGACGUUCUGCGACGUAUUUUGUUCAGGAGCGGAGACCAUGUUUGCUAAUCUGGGGCAUUUCUCGCCGACUUCAAUAAAGGUAGCGCCUUUUCCCAUCUGGAACAGCAGAGUGUGGAACCCGUUUCCCGGAGCUUCGUUCUAAGGCGGCAACCUUGAGUUUCAGAUCGCCUUCUCCUUUCUCGUGUACCCCUGUCUGGUUCUGGCGUACAUGGGAGAGGCGGCCUUCUUGUCCAAGCAUCACGAAGAUAUACAGAGGAGCUUCUACAGGGCCAUACCAGGCAAGGCGGAUCACCUGAUGAAGGCUGCGCGAGUUUAACCUAACUGCCUGGCGUGUUUCCUGAUUCAUAGAAGCGUUUGUGGUGCAGAAACUGUGUUCUGGCCGGUUUUCCUGGUGGCGACCUUGGCGGCUGUCGUGGGGAGCCAGGCGGCGAUAUCGGCGACCUUCUCGAUCGUGAGCCAGUGCUGUGCGCUGAAUUGCUUCCCCCGCGUGAAGAUCAUUCAUACGUCGAAGAAGAUAUAUGGACAGGUCUACAUCCCCGAGGUCAACUGGAUUCUCAUGUGCCUCUGCUUAGCCGUCACCAUUGGGUUGAGGGACACCAACAAAAUCGGCCAUGCUUAUGGUACGCCCUUCAUCCUCCUAUGGAAAAAUUUUCACUAUCAUCUCUCUCUCUCUCUCUCUCUCUCUCUCUCUCGGGUUCCUUCAAGCUUACGAAUCAUCUCUCUCUCUCUCUCUCUCUCUCUUGCUGGCUUUCAGGGCUGGCUGUUUCGAUGGUCAUGUUUGUGACCACUUGCCUGAUGUCUCUGGUCAUGAUAGUCGUCUGGAAGCAGAGAAUAGCGUGGGCCGCUCUCUUUCUGGUGUUCUUCGGAUCGAUCGAGAUGCUCUACGUCUCGGCUUCGACCGUGAAGAUCCCAGAAGGGGGAUGGAUCCCUCUCGCGCUGUCCGCGGUGUUCAUGGUGAUCAUGUACGUGUGGAACUACGGCACUCUGAAGAAGCACGAGUUCGACCUGGAGAACAAGGUCUCCAUGAAGAGGAUCCUCGCUCUGGGGCCCAGCCUUGGGAUGGUCCGCGUCCCCGGGAUCGGCCUCAUCUACGCCGAUAUAGUCACUGGUUUGCCGGCCAUCUUCGGCCACUUCGCCACCAACCUCCCCGCCUUCCACCAGGUCCUGGUUUUCGUCUGCGUGAAGUCCGUUCAGGUGCCGCACGUCUCCGACGAGGAGCGGUUCUUGGUCGGCCGCCUCGGCCCCGACGAGUUCAGAAUGUUCAGGUGCGUGGUGAGGUACGGCUACAGGGAUCUGCAGCAGGAGAACCAUGACUUCGAGGCCCAGCUGGUCUCCAGAAUCUUGGCCUUUGUGGAGAUGGAAGGAGAGGACUGCAUGGUGGUCUCCAGGGGGAGGUAUCUCUCCGAGCUGGGGGCGAUCUCAGAUGGCGACAGUCUCUCAAAUCCGGCGCUACCCAGUCCGGCGGGAGGCGGCGGAAGCCCCGGCCACCACCGGGCCGGUGACAUCGAGGUGGAGAAACCAGAGGCCCCCGGGUUGGCAGAGUGCUCCUCCAUCACCAAGGACGAGUCUGUGGAGAUCCUCAGGGCCAGGGAGUCUGGAGUCGCCUAUAUCCUCGGGCGCUCCCACGCCAAGGCAAAGAAAUCAUCCCCCUUGAUCAAGAAGAUCGCCAUCGAUAUCAUCUUUGGCUUCCUCAGCAAGAAUUGCAGGGGAUCUGAGGUCGUUCUGAACGUUCCUUACUCUUCGGUUCUCGAAGUCGGCAUGGUUUACUACAUCUGAUUCCAGGAAGAAGAGGAUGAGAGAGAGCUUCAGACGACGCAGAGAAUCGUGCCCCGUCUCCCCGAAGAACCAGGAGCGUUUCUUUCUUCUACACAGGCGCAGGAGACGAAGAGCAGCAUGCCCCCACGAGCUUCCAUAGGGUUACAAAUCCCUGAGAACCGAAGAAGACGGGGAUUGCCUACCUCUUCUUGUCUGGUUUUGCAGAGCCCUAACCGUGUGAUAUGUCUUGUAAAGAAGCUUUUAUGACAGGAAAAAGCGUCAUCCAUCCAGAUCGCUACGCGAUCUGUGCAAGCUUAGAUUCUUCGCUCAUCGCGGGUCGCACCCCCAGAUCUUUUUUCGGAGAAAGAACCGUAGACAGACUACGAUGAAUAAAGAAUCAAAUGAUGAAUGAUGAAUAGGUGUGGAAAUGAAAGAACCAGCUUCAAUCGAUCAGCAGGCCAACAUGGCCUUGAACUCCUCGAAGCUAAUGACCCCGUCCCCAUUCAGGUCGAACCGGCGAAUCAUGGCCUUACAGUCCUCGAUGCCCGAGGAGUCGCCCAGCCGGCCGAGCGCCGUCCGCAGGCUCGUGGCGGUGAUGUAGCCGCGGCCGCUCAUCUCGUACACCCCGAAGGCCUCCCUCAUUUCCCUCUCCCUGUCCUCCUCCUCCUGCUCCUCGCUCAUCAGCCGGGCGAAUUCGUCAAGCCCCAGCAGCCCGUCGCCGUCAAAGUCGGCGGAACCCACGAUGUCGGCGGCGUCUUCCAGGGACAGCUCCAGGCCGACGCUCUUCAUCCGCGAGCACAACUCCGCCGGCGAGACCUUGCCGUCGCCGUCCUCGUCGAAGCGGCGGAACACCCUCUCCAGUCCUCCGGCGGACGACGAGCUCGAGCAGGGUUCUCCCGUUGCCGUGUUCUCUCCUGUCCCAGAUGGAGAUUUUGCGGCGCAGCCCAUCCUUUAUUCCCCGAACCGGAUCGGAAGUUCAUCAUAUAUAGAGAUUGGAAUCUGGAGAUCGAACCUUCCGGGAGAGAUGACAGAAACAACCAGGAAGGUUAUUACACGCGUCGAUCCCGCGCUAGUCAAUCUUGCUGACGUUUCAGUGACACGUCAACCGUCGACAGCCGCCGUCUCAAAACGGCGCGAUCACAGCUUCUCGAAACGAGUCUUUAAUAAACCAUAAUUUUGAGAAAAUAAUGUAAAAAGAUUACCACGCCGAAGAUCAGAAUUCAAUGGAUAUCUCUCUAGACUCGAAUAAAUUGCCCUCUUCCCUCUCUCUACGCCAACCUCACGACGACAUCUUUGGGCCGUGGAUCGAAUCACAACUCAUAGCUCGACCAUACUCUCUCUCUCUCUCUCUCUCUCUCUCUCUCUCGCUCCCUCCAUGGUGUAUCUUCUCUCUCUCUUCUCUCCCUUGUUCCCAUCCUGGAAACCCAAUCAUGUCCUGCAGCGCGCCCUCCCUUUCAGCUCUCCUUCGUAAUUGCCGGCGCAGGUAUUCCUUCUCCGCUCUCACUCCUCCCUCCCGUAUCUCUCGCCGCCGAAGCUGAACCCCUUUCCCCGGCCCCGUUCGACGACUGCCCGGCCGGCAGACAAGACCUUCGGUCUUCUUACGUAUAUCCUUUAGGACUCCUCAGUCUGACCGUGAGUCCUGGAUGGAGAUUCUGCAGAAGUGUGAAAUCCAGUAAAACGAUCUACAAAACUGCACGCCAGCAGCAACUGGCCGUAUGCCGCGGCAAGCUGGCCGGAUGUCUUAGCCCACGAGUCGGCAAGUAGUGAUGAAACCUGCUCUUCCCCCCCACAGAUGGAAGACGAGGUGGCAAACCAACGGGGGCACGCAGCUGAAAUGGCAAGCACCUCGCCGUGCCCGCGCGGGCGGGACAGGAGAGCCGGCGUAGUAUGGCCGUGGGCGGUCGCCGCCGCUCCCACGGUACCGGCGUCCAUAUGAUUCGACCGCCGCCCGGUUUGGGCGCCGGCCGAGACUUGAAUCUGCGUAAGGCUCCUGGUGUCGUUUUGCCGACGCCCACAGAGUGAGGUCUUCCCUUCCUGAUCCCCCCCAGUGGAGCCCGAAUGAGAGCCAUCUCAGCUCAGCAUCAGACAAUAUCAGUCAGCUCGAUUCAGGUUUAUUGUCCUGAUAUCAGCUCAAUAUCAGGCCGCUACAGCUCUCUAGAAAGUAACAGAUGAUCGGCAUCUUGAUUCGCUCUUUGCUUCUUAUUGGAUCCUCGUGAAAAGGAGGACGAAUGAAAUUUAAGUAAAAAUAACUUCUUUAGGUGCAGUGGCUGAUGACUAUGACGGGGGAGAACCUUCCGUCUUCUUCCCCACUUGUUCACAUCUAUUCCGUGGACAGAAAUUGAAUUCAAAGGCGAGGGGAAGGAGGCCUUCACGUUCGGAUUCUCUUGCUUACGAUCCAGAACGCAGGAAAGCGAUUUCGAAGAAAAAAGAGAGAGGAGGAAGGAUCUGAACAUGCCGGGCGGCUGGGAGCCGAUCCCGAUUGCCGACGUCCGAGCUUGUGUGGCCUACGCGCGAGCUCUGCUCAUGUAGCUCCUCACCUCCUCCGCGAUCAUCUCUCGUACUAUUGAUAGCAGGGACAUUUCCUCCACCUCCCACCCGCUCCCCUGCUUCUUCGCGCCGCCGCCACCGCCGGCGGCGGCGGCGGUGGCGGCGGCGGACUCAUUCCUGCUUGGCGGACUCAGGGACAAGGACGUCAUGGGCUCCCGUUGUAGGUCCGUCGGCGCUUGCCCCGCCGACAUAAACGCCCCCCUCUGGCAACGCCGUUUCCUCGCGGAGUCCGAGUCCGAGUCGGAGACGUCUUGCUCGGAGGAGUUUGGGGCCGAAGAGGGGGAGCGCUGCGAGGUGGACUCGGACGGCCUGCGGCGGCGCAGUGUGGAGUUCCAGUGAUUCUUGACGGAGUUGUCCGUGCGGCCCGGUAGCAGACGCGCGAUGGUAGCCCACUUGUUCCCGUACAUGGCGUGUGCCGCCACGAUGGUCGCGUCUUCGGCGGCGGUGAAGGGCCGGUGCUCCACGGCGGGGCUCAGCUGGUUGAACCAACGAAGGCGGCAUGACUUGCCGGAGCGGCCGGGGAUGGCUGUGCUUAUACCGCUCCAGUUACGCGGACCGUGGCGGUGGACGAGCUCGACAAGCCGUGCAUCCUCGUCGGGGCUCCAGGAUCCCUUACUCCGGCGGCCGUCUCCAGCGCCGCCACCUCUCACGCCAUUUUCUACUUCCAUAUCCGGCUUCCUCUUCUUCUCCUCCCGCUGCGCGACGAAGUGGGUCUUCAGUCCCCCGUCUCAGCGGCCACCGUUUUUCGAUGAAGUACUGUACUCCUCCCCCUCUUCGUUUCCGACCUCCGUUUCUUCUCUUUUAUCUGCACAAAUUAUAUAUAACAGACGAUGGGAAGGGGGGAGGUUGCAGACGUGCAGUUUGGUCUAAAGUGGUGGACUUGGUAGCGCAGUCUCGAUUCAAUGCGACCGUUUCAUUCUUGUGGGUGGUGUGUUGGUUGGUUGGCGUAAAACCAAACUCGCAAACCGCGUGGAUCUCCUCUCUCUCUCUCUCNNNNNNNNNNNNNNNNNNNNCCUCUCUCUCUCUCUCUCUCUCUCUCUCUCUCUCUCUCUGCCCUCAGCUGACGUUGAGUGACCGCUGACAGACGAAGCGUCCGAAGAAGGCAACGGUGGGUAUCAAAGGUAGAGUGGUUGACGGGUAGCGGGACUCGGUGCAAUUCGAUACCAAGGAACGAGGAGACGGUUCGUCGUCAUCGUCACCGAGCAGGAAGAUCGCCCGGAAGCGGGCCAAAAAAGCUCGGGCUUCUGUGGCGCCGGUGAGAAGGUGAAACCGUGACAUCAGUUUCCGUUCAUGGGAUCUUCUUGGUGGCCGCCGGUGGCCAGGGCGUACGGAGGACGGCGGGACCGCCAUGACGUCUCGUUUGAGUUGUCGGUUUGGAUGGGAUCGUCGUUCCUACGGCCAUCCAUCGAAGUUAGGUUUGACUCGGAAACCAAAUCCGACACUUCAGCGCCCAAGACGUCAGCCAGGCGGCGGCCCCCUUCCGGGGGAGCGGGCGGCCGGCGGUAGCGGCGCCUUCUAAUGCUCUGCGGAAGAUGCGCGGAGAACCGAAUGACCCAUUGGCACUCGUCCAGAUGGUUUCAAUGCCGGCGUCGGAGGGAUCAGGGGGGAGACCUCGUUGGCUUUGAUCGCCCUGGACGUCAAUGGCGGCAAAUCUCUAUCGUCUAACGACAACAGAUCUUGCACGCAGGUUUCAACGUCAUUAACUAGUUAAGGGGGUUAGUUAAGGGGGCUCGUCAAGGGGUUCACUUGUCCCAGUUAUCAGCCGAACGGAGCAGAGAGGGCGCCUUUCUAUGUCGAUGGCGAUAGGUUAACCAUGGACGUCGGAUGUGGAAUCAGAGUAACACAGGAAGAUUUAACUGCAUAAUUCUUCAUGAAAACCGGACGAAACCGGGAUUAGAUGAGAGGGGCACCAUCAGCGAGAUUAAAUCUGCGGAUUUGAUCGGUCGCAGAUGGUCUACUGAGGAUUAGGGGGGCGGCUGUUGGCGGCGGAGACCCUGGCGCCCCACUCGAGCAGCUCCUUGCUGGUGUCGUUCCUGUGCAGCAUCACCUCUAUGAAGCACAGGCAGUCUUUCAUCUCGCUGGUUGCCGCCUUGAUCGCCCGCAGGAGCUCCUCCUCGCACCGCACCUGGCGGCGCGCCGGGAUUCAGAGCCCACCAAAAUUCAUGGCGUCCGUCACUGAAUAGGGUGGUCCACUGUGCCGGGGAAGGGGUUCACUCACCUUGCAUGUCCAGCACUUGCCGUCGCCGUUGUGGAUGGCGUCCACGAAGGCUGUGUAGUUCCAGUUCUUGAUGACGUUGUAGGGGCCCUCGUGGAUCUCCUCCUCGAUGGUGUAGCCCCCGUUGUUUAAGAGGAAGAUGAUGCUUCUCUGCCGGCUGCGGAUCAUCGUAGAGAUGUCCUGGCAAGUGACCUGCGACCGAUCCGAGCGGAAAAAGGAGAUGGAUAAUCUCGAUAAAGAGGAGAGAAAGAAGACCACAGGUCAGGUGUUCAUCAUACCUGAAAGCUUCCGUCGCCGAUGCAAGCAAUCACCCGCUUCUCCUUCGCAGCCUGGGCGUAGCCGAGCACCGCUCCCACAGACCAGCCAAUGGAUCCAUACUGCAUUUGGAACUCAUAUCUGCCCAACGCGCAGAGGCAACCUACGUGAGCGCGAUGAACAGCGAGAAAGAGGGUGUUUAAAUCUGAUUACCCGCAGCCCUUUGGCAGUCUGAGCUUCUGGCAGUUGAACCAGGAAUCUCCCGUCUCUGCAAUCACCGCAGUCUCCCCCGACAGCAUCGUCUGGAUGUGCCUGAACAGCACGUUGACCCGCAGGGGCUCGUUGGGAUCGCACGCCGGCGGGGCGCCCUCGGGCACGUAGAUCCGCUGGUAGUUCUCGAAAGCGGUCGUGUUCCUCUUCAGCUUCUUUGCCAGAGCCCUGAGGAAGUCCUUCAUCAGGACGCAGCCGAACGCGGGGCCGUCCGUGAUGGUCACGCGCUCGGGCUGGACGAUGAUCGCCUUCUCCUUCUUUAGCAGGAGAGAGUAACCCACGGAGCUGUAGUCGUUGAAGAUGGGGCCGGCGAACAUGUAGGCGUCGGCGGACUCCACGAUCUCGGCGCAGAAGGCGGUGCUCACGGCGCCCCAGUAGGUGCCGAUGAACCUCGGGUGCUGCUCGGGGAACUGCCCCUUGGCCGACGGCAUCACAGCGACGGCGUAGCCGCUUGCGUCGGCGAGCUCCACGAAGGCCUUCCCAGCCCUGGCCACCCUUAUCUUAGGCCCCUCCACCAGCACCGGCUUCACCGCCUUGUUCAAGAACUCCGCGGCGGCCUCCACCGCCGCCUCCAGGCCCAGUCGGUUGCUCAAGCUGCGACCCAAUUACAUCAAAUAACCGAGUAACAUCGUCAACAGCAAAUCGAACACUGUUCUAGGGUAUCAACGACAAUGAUCACUGCCCUAAGAGAGGAGAGAACAAAAAAAAAGCUGGAGCAUAUUUUUUUACUUGGGGGAGAGGAUGUAGGGCACCGGCUCGCAGCUGAAGGUGGGAUGAGGGAUCGUCGGUAAGUUGCAGCUGAUGCUGAGGUACACCGGCUUGCUCUCUUUCAGGGCCGUCGAGAUCGCCCUGUCGACCUCCUCGUGGGCAUCUUCCAGAUUAUUCACCACAACCUGCAUCAGUUCAAUCACGGCCGCCGUGAUGCCUCCACCUCAGUUUUCCUUUUCCUUCCUAAUCUACGGAGCGGAAGACGGUGGGAGGGCCGGGGGAACCUGAUGACAGGUGACAGUCUGAAAGCACCGGAGCUCCUGGCUGAAGUCGGAGAGGCCGACCGUGUGGUGAAGGAUCCUGUUGGUUCCGUAGUCGUUGGAGUUGGGCCCCCCGACGAGGCAGAUCACCGGCAGGUUCUCACUGUAAGCGCCGGCGAUGGCGUUGAGGACGCUCAGGCCGCCCACCGUGAAGGUGACCACGCAGGCGCCGACUCCCCGUGCCCUCGCGUACCCCUCGGCGGCGUAACCGGCGUUGAGCUCGCUGCAGCAGCCGACGUUGUUCAGCUCGGGCUCGGCGAUGAGCUGGUCGAGCAGGGUGAGGUUGAAGUCUCCGGGGACAGAGAAGAUGUCGCCGACGCCGAUCUGGACGAGGCGGCGGGCGAUGUGCCGGCCGAGGGUGGCCUCCGACCGAGAGGCGGCGAGGGCGGGGAAGACGGUGGGGCUGUGGCUCGCGGGGAGCGCCCCCACCGCGUUGGAGGCGGAGCUUACCGCGUCGACGGCUCCGACGUGGGCGUCCAUCUACCUCUCUUCGCCGUCGUCGGAGCAGAAGAAGAAGACCUCCCGGGAGGGAAAGCGUCGACUAUGAUGCCGGAUCCUCUGCUUACGUGUUCUUCGCUUCUCUCCAGGUGUCACUCGAACAGCCCUCCGGUACACAUGAUUCGCCACGUGUUUAUGUCCGAUCCCGAUCCCGAUCCGAGCCGGAAUCGGACGAUUCACCGUACCAUGAUAGUGUGUGCCUGGCUAUGAGAGACCCCCCCCUUCCUCUCCCCGUUUGCGGCAUCUUGCAACGUCUCCCGUUUCCGACCCGAUCGCAAGCAGCGCUCCUUCCGCCGGAGCUCUGCUGGCUCCAUUCGGUUUCCGCUGACAACUGCAGCCACACGCGACGUCAAUCGUAGGGGACAGCGGUGUCCACAGUCGAGAGCACCAGCAUUAUCCGGUAAAUCGCCGUCCGGCCUCAUACUACGACAGGUGUUCUUCCUCAUGCAUUUUCCGCUUUCUUUUCCGUGGUAAAUGGUCGGCAAACGUGGAGGGGACUCCUCCGGCGCGGGUGAUUUCCGUUUUAUUAUCAUCUUCCUGAUCUGGGAACCCCUACGAACCAAAUAUUGUUCCAUGGAGAUUCGUUCCUGAUGGACGGAACAGAGAUUUUUCCUUUGAAAUUUUAUUCUCUAGGGCCCAAUUUUCUUCCUCGUAUCGGGAUCGGCCCUGCAAUAUAUUAGUUCCGCACACAAAUUUCCAAGCGUAGAAUGAGGUUUUGUGCAGAAUCGUGAAUAGACACACAUCAAUCUUUCGGAUUUGCGCCUGUUUGACGGGUGAGGGAGAAAGAACCCGGGGGAAGGGGGAAAUGGGAGAGGGAUAAUUUACACCUCGUCAUGGAGUUUCGCAUACUAUCGCUUAAUAUAUAAACAUACUCAAUCCCGAAUUUGGUUACCUGGGUAUAUUUCUCAUACCCUUCCAUUCCAUGGCUCUUAACAGUUGGUUGCCAUUAGGACCGUUAGUUCUAAUUUUCAUUAGAUCUCACAAAAACAAUUAUAUCUGGUGUGGAUCCUUGAAUCUCGAUUCGAAACAUUAUUAUAUUAUUGUCCGGCAAUUGCACCUUUGAUUGAUUUUCCAUGUUGCUAUUCCUUGUCCACCCUUUCAGCCUCACCAGCACGAGUUGCGCAUUUCUGCUUCGGAACACCAUUCCUGAUGAUAUAUUCCCACCAAAUCGACUUGAAAUUUGAUUGAUCUUAUGAUGCCCUUAAUGAUAACAGAGAAGAAACACUAAGGGAACUGUGAUAUUUUGAUUCAUUUAUCUAUUUUUCUGCUUUUGCCUUCUUGUGCAUGUGUUUGAUAUGUCCAAAAUAUUGAUGGCGACAUGAAUCAGGGGCCAGUUCAAGAGUAAGAACAGAAAUAAUGUACGAAUAACUGGUAUUUACCGUCGACCGUUUCAUUUUUUUAAAGCUGUCGAAGGGAAUAACUUCUGAUAAUAGAAGUUUCGUAAUGGAGAACAAAAAAUGCACCAUGUAACAUGCAACAAUUAUUUCCAGGGGACUUGUAAACAUCCAGCAUGUAGUUACCUACUUAUAUCUUUAGUUGUCUGAUCUCUCAACAUACUCAUUCUCCCUAUCUUUCAUUUGUUUUUCCAGAAAGUUUUGAUUUGCAAUGGCAAACCGAGUGCAGAUACCUACUAACAACUCAGCGCUUAUAGCUAUGAUCGCUGAUGAGGUAUGUCCGUUAUUCAUGUAUGUGGGUUGAUUUUGUUGCUCAAGGCUCGAACGCAAAACCAAAUGACAGCAUUCAGUGUUUAUUGUCUUGCACGCUAUCAGUUUAUUAUUAUUCCCGUCCUGCGUCUUGUUCCCACUUCCAUGUAGUCAUUUAGCCCCACCUUCCGUUUAUGGUUUGGAACAGAAAAUCGUGGUCGAAAAAGCAGGUCCUGGUUAUUUAUGUGCAUGUCCGUUGAUUCUUAUCUCUAUGAUCUUUGGAACCUCCUUUAAUGUAACCUAUCGCCUUGCAUAGCAUGUGUUUUUUUUCUUAUGCAUUUUAUUCUAUUGGGGCAACCGAUGACCUAGUGAGGGGACAAUUAAUGGUGGGGCAUACAAUAUCACAUAAAUUAACAGCUGUACAAAGAUAUUUUAAGUGAAGAUGAGGGAAGAAACUGAUGACCACCUAUGCAAGAGACAACGCAUAGACCACUCUGAGGCAAUCUAAUGAGGAGGAAGUGAUUGAAUAAAUACUGGCGAAAUGAACUCACUUCCACCCUUGCAGUUUGGACAUCCACAAUUGGUUGGCACCACUCAAACAGCCACAAGAGGCACUCUUAAGCUGGAAUUUUACCCAAAAUGGGCUGCACCCUACAUAUAUUGAAUGCACCACAUCUGCGUGAAAACUCCGCAAACCAAAUGACUUCGAUGAGUGAACGACUGAUGCUAAGCUAGUAGAGCAUAAUGGGUAAAUGAGCUUCAGGUUCGACAGAUGUUGGCUUCCAUAUUCAAUCCAACAUUAAAGAAAGAAACUUUCACCACCCCUAGUCAAAGUUAUUAAAUUUCAAAAGAAGUUCAAUGAUAAGGAUAUAAGGAGAGUGCAAAACUAUAUUGGAACAAUGACGUACUGUAGGAGUAGGUCACACUUUUGAGAAACUCAUGGAAACUGAGAUUUCUAAAGUACAUAUGUUAUUUGAAUUUAUGCUAUUUUUUUUUCCUGUUGGGGAAGGUUGCCGAACUUGGUUUCAGGUCGGUGCAACUCAGCUGCAGUUUCUAAGCGUUCAGACAUUAAAUUCUUCUGAAAUAAAUGGAUUCCCCUUUACAUUCCAAGGAUCUUAAUAUUGAGAAUCGAUUCAGCUUGCAAUGUACAUGUCCGUCUGUGUUGUAGUCCGCUUAAACUGUGAUAAAAUUGCUGAAUUUUUCCACCAUCUAACUGAUCUCACCGAACUUUUGACUUUCUUAUGGAUACUCAGAACUUGGCAUCGUUUUCUGGAAAACUAUUAUGAGCCACAACAAGUGGGUAGACUGUGUUUCAAUGGAUAUUUUGUCCCAGGCUCGAUUUGGUCAUGCUCAUGGAAAUUUUGAUUCUUUAGCUGCUCUAAGAUAGUUUUAUUUAGAUUUCUGUGUUCAUAUAGAUUAGAAUGCCAGGUCAGGCACCGGCCGGUAAAUAGGAGAUGCUGCUCUUUUCUGGGCGGUCGAGUUUAAAAGCAUGAAUUUAGUGUUGGUUCUUUUUGCUCUCUUAUACAUGUUUCAUGGGACUGUGCAUGCAUGUAGGCUUGUUAUGCAAUAAUGACUCCCUUUAUCAUGGUUUUGACGGCUUAUUUUUCGUUUAACAGAGGAUCUAAUAUUUCUAAUUUUCUUGUUAGUAGUCCAUUUGUAUAACUUAUUGAUGUACAUUAUUUUCCUCUGGAGAGCUACUAAUAUUUUUUUGUCUCAUUCAUGUAGGAUACUGUGACUGGUUUUUUGCUUGCUGGAGUCGGCAAUGUUGAUUUAAGGAGAAAUACAAAUUAUCUCCUUGUAGACUCAAGUAAGUCAAAGGAACAAAUGUCCCGCUUUUUUGUUGUUUCUUUUUGCCAAAUAUUUUGUGCUGGUGUGAAAAAUGUACUGUCAGUUCGUCCUGUAUGGUUUCUCUUUCAACCUUCUCAAUUAGACCCUUGGAGCCCUGGCGUGGUGCUACUUGAUUCUUCAAGAUUUUCAUAUUUAUAACAUUUGAAAUUCAUUUAUGCAAUGUUGAUUUACUACAUAUUUUUUCUCUCCAUAGCAAACAGAUCCAUUUAUGAUAUUUACUUUCAGAAGCUUUGCUCAUUGUUGAGGGUGGUAUAGUUUUAUAUUUUUAUUUUUUCAUUUUUAAGCAAUAUGUAUCUCCUUGUCAUUAGUCCACAAAAUGAAAUAACAGUUUGAAAUGGAUAUUUAUUUUUGGUCUGUAAUAUCUUCUGAAACCAUCAUAAAGAUUCAAUUGGACUCUGGAUGUGGAUGUCCCGUUUCUCAAAUUUUGAAAAUAACAGUUGAAAUUAUGAUAAGGAAAAAUUUUGAUGCAUUGGACCAUUAAUUAAAUGGAUGUCUGGUACAUCGGAUUUCGUAGGCUGAAAUUGUGUUUUUCCUUUUAGUUUGACAUCUAUAGUUUGGUGCAUCUAGUUUCGGGAUUCCUGUUUGAUAAAUUUCGAGUAUUUCUCAGAUAGCAUAAAAAAUUAGAGUAAUUUACGACACAUUAUAUGUUGUUAUUUUUUUUGGGUAAUUGGUUCCCAUGUUAUUGAAGUCCUUUCUAAAAUAGUCGGUUACUGUUUACAUCUCUUGCUUCUGAUGUUGAUGCCAUAUUGCUUUCUUUGUGAUCCUUUCUGGGCCCACUAUUCUUCUGGGAGACCUGAGGAACUGUUAAUUAUGUUCUUUUAACGCUCUUCUUACCGGCCUGAAAAAGACCUUGACCUCUUGUGGCCGAAUAUGUGGGUCAUCUAUUCAGUUGACCUCUUGUGGCUGGACUCAGUGACAUGAUCGUUUCACAGAGAGUGAUAAUUCGUGGAACAUUUUCUGCACCUUUCCUUCGAUUGCGUCCGUUCAUUUUAGCAGAGGCCUUACAAAAGGGAAAGACAAGCGGAAAUCCUGGAAAAAUAAAAACAAUUUACACAUGCAUCAUUGUAACCCCCAUAACCGCAUAUGUAACCUCAGCGGAUUCUCUUCUAAGUUCCAGUUAAUGGCGUGUAUAUGUUGUACCCCCAGUGCUACCAUAUUUCAUGAAACAACUGUCGAGAGCUCUAAGGCUUCUAGUCACUGUCUCUCUUGAAAACCCUGCCUGGCUUCUGUCCAUUGCAAAUCCCACAGUGAUAGUUUUCUCAAAGUUCUCCAUGCCCUGGACCACUAGCGCCACCUUGGGAGCAAACUGGUCUCAGCAUAAAAAGGAUGGGCUUGCAAGCUGUCAAUUAUGUCUCCGUAAUGUGCUUAGCAUUUGAGUAACCGAGACAGUCAGGAUAGCACAUGUGCGGUUCUUGUCCAUCAGACUCUCAUUUUUGUGAGACAUUUAGCCAACUGAUGCGUUUAUGGAUCUGAGCUCCUUAUCUAUUAUAUGAGUGAUACAAUUCCUAGUUACUCUCUUGACUUGGAUAGACAAUGCACAUUACAGAAGGAAUUUCUCUUGGAUUCAUCUUUUCUUGGCGACACACCCCCAGAGUCUAUGAACGAAUUCAAUGUAAGAUGACAUGGAAUAUAGAGUAAAGAGAAAUCUUUUCAUUUUUGUAAUAUUCUUCUAUACUACUUCUGGCAGUUGCAAAUUGGCAUUGCACGAACUUAGAUUAGAGCCAUCGAUUUUGAAAGCGAUAACCUUAAACAACACUAGAAGCUGUUGACAGAUAUUUACUGCAGUCAAUAUAUAGAAUAAUGUUUUAAUGUGUCAAUAUAUUCUGGUGUGCUUACUUGGAUACAUGCGGUAAGUUUGCCUGGUUUAUCGGUAAUUUUUUGCUAUCCAGAAACUACGGUGAAAGCAAUUGAGGACACGUUCAAGGAGUUCACCACAAGGGAAGACAUUGCUAUUGUGCUGAUCAGUCAGUAUGUAAGUUCAAUAGGAUGGCAUCAUUUGCUUCCCAUAUGCUUAUUUCCCGCAAGAGGUUGUUUUUAUUUCAUUUUAUAAUUAUGUUAGGUUGUGCAUUCUAUUCGGUAGGACUUGUCUAAUUGACCAAACUCAUCCAGUUGUUUCAUGAGACUCAGGCAGAACACUGAGGUUGAAACAGGAACUGAGGAAAUACAUAUGUUUCGAGUUUUCAUUCAAGCAUUAAUUUAUGGCCUUUUGCAUGUUACCUGCAUUAUCUGACGGAAACAAGUUAUUGCAUUAAACAAUUAGAUCAAGUUUCUUAUUUUUAACGAUUUUAUUGUAAUGCACUAUUUUUAUCAGUAUGGUUUAUAGUCAUUUUUUCUGUUCAUCGCAUUCACUACCUAUGGGGAGACGGCUAUUUCUUAUCUCUGAAAUCCGAAGAACUUCAACUAAGAUAUGAUUGAUUAAAAUCGUUUACAACAUAUUCUUUUAGUAAUUAUGGUCAUGAAUUUGAACUGAACUAUUAAGCAUUAUGUAAUCUGGGCUAUGAUUUGAACUCUUUUGAUCUAAGAUCAAGCAAAAAUUUCCAAAACCCUCAGAUUGUUGGAAUGGGAAAGAGUGUUACUAAUCGAUUAAUCAGGUGGUUUUCUCAUUUCUGGGUAUGAACCCUUCUGGAUUCAAUUCCUUGUUCGAAUGAUUCCCAAGGACUGCUUUCAUUGUACCUACCCUUUUGAGGACUCAUGUCAUGCGACCACUCACGUUGGGCAUCUAGCGGAUAGUUUCCCACAAGUAGGAUGAACAAGACCACGAUCUUUCUUUCACUGCUUAAUUUAGCUCUUCAGCCUUUGAUCUUCUCUAUCUGGAGAUGGACGCUCAGUAUUCUUCAUCCGUUGACGGAAAUUACGGAACUCUUUGCUCAGGUGGCAAAUAUGAUAAGAUUUCUCGUCGACAGCUACAACAAGCCGGUUCCUGCGAUCCUGGAGAUCCCUUCCAAGGAUCACCCGUACGAUCCCGCCCAUGACUCGGUUCUCUCCCGCGUGAGGUACCUGUUCUCGUCGGAGUCGGUCUCAUCCGGGCGGCGCUAGCCAUCGCCGCCUCUCCGGGAGACUCGGACACCACUUGCAUAGCGCGAUGGAGGAAUAAAAGCAGACUACCAAGCUCGCUGUUCAUGUAAAACUCCCUUCGACAGAUAUGUAUGCGAUUGAUUGCCCCGUUGACUUAAUGCACCCGUGGGACAUGGCUGCGGUCGUCGUUUCGUGGAAAGCUUCAAAUUUUCAGUCUUUUUCUCUUCGCCUUUUACCUGCGGCCGCCUCCUCGCAGCUCCAUAGCGCCGCCGGCAUUCCGGCUCCUCCAUGGGGCCUCUCCGCGAACAGCUUCACUAACAGCUUGAGAUGCUGAUAGCAAUGACCCUCGCUGACGAGAUCUCCGGUCGGAUGCGGUGGCGUUCGGAUUCCCCGAUGUCACCCGUUUGUACUGCCGAGGGACUGGAGCUGACGUCACUACCCUAUCCUCCGUUGACCUCUCCAAGAAAAACUUGCCCCCCCCCCCUCCCCCAAACAUCGGAAGCUUGACGAUGCUCGAGUCUUUGGAUCUAUCGAAGAACGAGCUUUCAGGGGAGAUCCUCCGGGGCUGGCGUUCGUUGACUUUUAGAUCUAUCUGAGAACCGGCUUGUCAGAGGGAUUCUGCAGGGAAGACAGUCUCCAUAUUUGCAGGAGCUCCUUUCGUAGGCAACCAAGAACUGUUCAGCAGUGGUUGUGAUGUUCUUCCUGCUCCGGGGGCAAAGCGUGGAGAUGCUGCUGUUGAAGAGGGUUCCAUUACUCUCUAAGUCUCUCUUGUAGAAGUGGAGUCAAACGGGUGAUGGAUGAGAUAUUUAUCAGAAGAAAACCAUAAUUUGUCGUAAUUUUAUCUAAAUAAGUAAUGUAAAAAACUAGUGUGAUGGAUGAGAUAUUUAUCAAUUGAAGGUAUUUAUCGGGAUAUACUUGACCUCCUGCAAUUUAACAAAUAUUUGGGCUCGAAGAACAGCUGCUGACUUGUUCUUGAAGAUCUCUCUUUCGCUCAAGUCUGGCUUCAAGUACUCGUUAAUCUGAGUUUAACAUAAAAUAAUGAAACGCUUUACUCCCGUUACGGUUGAUCCCAACUAACACGCCGUGUUAUAUAUUUUACUCGGUGUCCAAUGUUUAAUACGUGUCAAUAUUGAAGCCCACUUGGUACAUGAAUAUUUCCGAUUUCGUAGUUUAAAAAAGAUGUAGAUUAUCCAGAAAUGUCAAAAUCUUAAAUUUAAUUCUCUGGAUCGUUAGACAAACUAAUGGGUCCAAGCAUUGACUUCAACGUCUGGCCCAGAGAACUCGAAGAGGUUGAAGAAUAAUAUCGUAUCAUAUGCAAUUGCAUUGCUAUAAACUUUUCGCUGAUACCCACGUCGAAGUAUCAAAGAUCAAAGCUUUUACGUUCGAGCCUGGCUAGGCAUUCUGGACUAUGAGGAGCCUCUCUCUCUCUCUCUCUCUCUCUUCCCAGGAGAAGGGUGAAGGAGGCAGAAGACGGAUGGAACGCGGCCGAGACAGGCUCGUCUCCUGCCUGCGUCAUCUCCCUUGCGGCGAGGGAGACGGAGAAGGCGGCAUUCCAUUCUUCUUCGUCUUACCAUUACAGCCAGAAGACGACGGCGAGCGGACGGUGGGGUCUUGCUGGAGAUGGCGGCAGUGAAGAGAGAGAACGGUGGCGGCGGCAUUCGCCACGGUUGUGAUGGAGCGAGAGAGAUCGACUGAUAAGCGCCGAAACUCAAGAUGCCAUUUUAUGAUAAAACGCGUAGCGCCGUCACAUCUUCCGACUCCGGGGAACUGGUUCCCCCGUUCGUCUCCUACCUUUCUGCCGCGAAGGGACCACCGCUGCCACGGAUGAGCGUUCCCACAGGGACCCUCCCACACCCACAUCGUCAUCCUCCAGGAGAACCUCUUCCAAUGAUCCACUGGUUCCUCCGGCUCAUCCCCGUCCUACUCGGCUUGGCCGCCUCCUCUCCAAGGUUACCUGCCUCCGGGCAAUGCCUCCUCGACCAGAGCGCCGCACUCCUCCGUCUGAAGCAGGGAUUCGACGACUCUUCCCAUCUUUCUUCCUGGAAGGAAGAUACUGACUGCUGCCGCGGCUGGGCCGGCGUCACCUGUGAAGGGGUGUCGGGUAGGGUCGUCGCUCUGGACCUCAGCGGAUCAUCCAUCUCCGGUGGCGUUGACCCGGCGCUCUUCCAUCUCACCUCCCUUCGAUCUCUCAACCUUUCAUGUAACAACUUGAAUUUCGACUCCAUACCUCCCCGCAGCUUCGAGCAGCUGACCAACCUGACCCACCUCAACCUCUCCGAUUCAGGCAUCUCCGGUAACCUCCCCGUCGGUAUAUCCCGCCUGACCAGCCUAGUCUCGCUGGAUCUCUCCAACCAAGGUUGUUGUUCCCCAUCUUCUCUGACGCUCCAGGAUCCAGAUCUCCACACACUGAUCCGAAACCUCUCCAACCUGCAUCAGCUCUGCCUCGAUGGAGUCAACAUCUCCGCCGGAGGACGCGAUUGGGGCCGGGCGUUGUCUUCCUACGUGCCCAACCUCCACGAACUCAGCCUGUCCAGCUGUUCGCUCUCCGGCCCUAUCGACGACUCCUUCUCCGCCCUCAAAUCCCUUGUCGUCCUCCGCCUGCAUCGAAACAAUCUCAGCACCGAGGUGCCGGAAUUCUUCGGCGAUCUCUCCUCGUAAAGAAUGCUUCGUUUAGACUCCUGCAGCCUCCGCGGAUCGCUCCCGAGAGGAAUUAUCCACCUCCCCCUCCUUGAGACCCUCGACCUGUCGAGGAAUCCCUCUCUAUCUGGGAGUUUACCCGACUUUCCGCCGGGCACCGUUCUGGAAUAACUGUUCCUGUCCGCCACAAAUUUAGCCGGCACUCUGCCGGACUCCAUCGGCAACCUCCGGCUUCUGAAGACCUUGCAACUGACCGCCUGUAGGUUCUCCGGUUCAUUGCCCGCUUCCUUUCAAAAGCUGACGCGGUUGGUCACCGUCGAUUUUCAAUGAAUGACUUCAGUGGCUCCAUCCCUUCCUUCGCGUCGUCCCCCAACAUCUCGAAGAUCGAUCUCCAGAACAAUUCUCUCUCCAGACCAUUUCCUGGAUGGAUCUUCAGCCUCCCAUCUCUCCAGUCCCUGCAACUCAACUCGAAUCGACUCUAUGGAACCCUCCCUGAGCUCCCCCCCCCCGCAGACUCCGUGCUGGAGACUGUGGACCUGACAAGCAACGAGAUUCAGGGCCCCAUUCCAAGGUCCAUCUCGAGGUUGCAGCACCUCAGGAUCCUCAGGCUCGCUUCCAACAACCUCAACGGCACGCUGGAGCUCAGCCUCUUCGGGAACCUCAAGAACCUCUCCAUUCUCGAUCUUUCGUACAAUCGCUUGACCGUCCAGACCAACCCAGCCGCCGCCUUGCCGAACGUCGGCACCCUGAACUCAGUGUCGAGGAGUUCCCGUCGCUCCUGAGAAACCUACUGAGCUUGACCAGGCUCGACCUCUCCGGCAACAACAUUAGUGGUUCCAUCCCCGACUGGCUGUGGAGCGUGGGCUCCCUCGUCUACCUGAAUCUUUCUCACAACUCCCUUACGGGAUUCGAGAGCUCACAAGAUUUUUCCAACAGCUCCUUGAUAAUACUCGACCUCCACUCCAAUAGCCUGGCAGGCCCGAUCCCUCGCCCAUCCCCGUCGAACGUGAUGGUCGACUUCUUCAAUAGCCACUUCGCCUCCUCCAUUCCUUCCGACAUCGGCUCGGCCCUCAACUUCAACAUCUUCUUCUCCGUCUCCAACAACAGCCUCACGGGGGGGAUCCCUGAAUCCGUCUGCAGCGGGAUCUAUCUUCAGGUCCUGGACCUCUCUCACAACAGCCUCGCCGGACAGAUCCCCGGGUGCCUCUUCGCCGGCGAAAUGAACCUCCGCGUACUGAAUCUUCGAGGCAACAAGCUCAACGGAACGCUUGGUCGAACAUUCGAAGCGGGAUGCAAACUGUAGAGCCUCAAUCUCAACGGGAACAUGCUCGAAGGAGCCGUUCCGCAAUCCCUGUCCAGCUGCAGGAGUCUGGAAGUUCUGAACCUGGGGAACAAUCAGAUCGAGGACACCUUCCCCUUCUGGUUGGGGAAUCUGUCGGAGCUGCGCGUCCUCAUUCUCAGAUCCAAUAAAUUCUACGGAUCAGUGUCGAAGCCUCGGGAAGGCAAUUACACCUUCUCUAUGCUGCAGAUCAUUGACAUCUCUGAUAGAUCUGCUCCAGCUCCGCCGUGACACACGGCUUAAUCAGGACCGUCGAUCCAUCGGAGUUAUAACGGUGGAGAAGAGGCCAUGUGGUCAAAAAAUGCCGGCUCACUCAAUCGGCAGUUAGGAGCACUCUCUCUGUUUUUCAUUGGACGCCUAUAUAAAGGGUCCUAUGUGCUCGAUGAAAUGUGUCACCCAUAACUCUCAUUCAUCAAUUCAUAAAAGAUCGAUUCCUUUUCAGUGUUUCUGUUUUUCGCAAAGUUCUUGCGACAGUUACAGGCUUCUUGAAGCCAACAAUCUCCUCCAACCCUCUCAAUGGUAGCUUGCCGUCGGAAUGGUUUCGGAGUUUGAAGGCAAUGACCACCCCAGGCGAGCUCUCCGGGAGGAAGACAGUGGUGGCGUUCAAAUUUCUCUCCCGGUUGUACUGUGUGGACACGGUGACCGUCACGAGCAAGGGGCUGGACCUGGCGCUGGUGAAGAUCCUCACCAUCUUCACCUCCAUCGAUCUGUCCAACAACGACUUCCAGGGGAGCAUUCCGCCGGCGGUGGGGGACCUGAAGGCGCUCCGCGUCCUCAACAUGUCGUACAACCGAUUGUCCGGUCCGAUUCCCCCAAGCAUCGGAGGCUUGACGAUGCUCGAGUCAUUAGAUCUCUCGAAGAACAACUUUUCGGCGGAGAUCCCUCCUGGACUGGUUCGCUUAUCCUUCCUCUCCGCCUUAAAUCUCUCUUACAACCAGCUCGUCGGACGGACUCCAGUGGGAGGACAGUUCUCGACGUUUGGACAAGAUGCCUUCGAAGGCAACGAAGGACUGUGCGGGCCACUGCUGCGGAGGCUGUUCUCGAACGCCACUGAGAGAGGAGCCGGACCCACGAAUUCGGCUCUAGCGUCCUCGUCCUUCGAUAUUUGUAAUUUUCUAUUCAUCGGAGCAGGUUAUGGAGUAGGACUGGGAGCGGUGAUCGUGAUCGUCGCUCCUCGGUGGAAACGCAUAGACAAAUGGGUGAUGAUAAGGUCUCCAUCCCUCUUUCGUUGGCUGGUCCACUGAACCAAAUCUCUCAAAAACUGUCCCGUAGUAUCGGAGGUUUUGUAAACUGGUGAAAGCUUGUGUAUAUUCUCAGGGCUAAAAUACUUUGGCUGCUCUUGAAGAUGUCUCCCCAACGAAUAUAGGUUUAUAUAGAAGAUUAGUUCCAAUAAGUGUAUUCAGGAUAAGACGGGCAUACCCCUGUUACUAUCAAAAAUAUAUUGUGGCCAAUAUUUUGAGGAUAUCAUGGAGCUUUGGAAUGCCCUAAUUGUAGCAGCCUCUAGAGCAUAAAUAUCGCCAUAUUGCUUGGUAACGGUAGCCGAGAGAAGAUUUAUUCUAUCCACUUUCCCUCAGGUGGAGAUAGCAAGAUAGCUCAACAGUAGCUGAAGAUAAUGGCAUAGCGAGUAUAUCUGCUAUUGGAUCUAAAAUAGAAAUAUUAUGAAUUAUAAUCUUUUGUCGAGAAAAAAAUAUGACGAAAGCUCUUCUUGCUCCUCAACAUGCCACUCAACCAGCUGACAAGCCCGAUUCUCCUUAACGUCAGAGGCUUGACGAUCCUCGAGUCAUUGGAUCUAUCGAAGAGCGAGCUAGCCGGGGAGAUCCCUCCGGGGCUAGCGUCUCUUGGCUUUCAAAACUAUUUCGGAACUGGCUCGUCGGAGGGAUUCCGCAGGGAGGACACUUCUCCUCGUUUUCAGAAACUCCCUUCGCAGGCAUCCAAAAACUGUGCAGCAGUGGUCCUGAUCUUCUUUCUGUUCGGGGCAAAGCACGGAGAUGUUACUGCUGGAGAGGGUUCCAUUACUCUAUCGUUGGCUGCCCCACUUAUGACUCUCAAAGGCUCUCUUGUAGGAGUGGAGUCGGACUCUUGUCAUGAGCUUACACUCCACCGUUUGAUAAGUGAGAACAAUAUCAUCAUUUAUCGUAAUUUCAUUCGAAUAAAUAAUAUAAAAAAAUUAGUGUAAUGGAUGAUACAUUGUCUUGGAGGUAUUUAUCUAGAGAUUCUUGCCCUAUUGCAAUCUUGUGAAAUAUUUGCGUUCGAAGGGCAUUGAGUAAGAAUGGAUGAGGAGAAGAGUAUAUAAUAGGCGAUCUAUGGGCGAGGUUAAGGGUAAUUUGGGGAAGGAUGGAUUAAGACUCUUAUUAUUCUCCUUUCCAAGAGACCUACACUCGGAUCUGGUUCUUAGGAAAGCCCACGAAGUAAGGGGAAGAACUCCUUUUCUUUUAACGAUCAGACUCAUAGUGUGUAUCACGGGAGGAUCAAUUGACACUCAACUCGGGGGGGGGCUGGGGGGCGUGGCUAUCCUAUCACUCAAUCAGAGAGCAGCACGGGAUAUUGAAAGAACAAGUCAGGAGAUAGGACGAUACGUAAUUGAGAGUUGAAGUCCUCCCCGCGCCGCCAGCGCUGUGCCGCUGCCAAAACCACCACCCGUCUUCCCACCACCACACCCGCUACGCCGUUCCCCCGAACCACUGGUUCCACCACCCCACUUACUUCGGGUUUAAGCUUCAGCCAGCUGGUGAGCCAGCAAACAGUCAGACUUGGACCAUCGAAAUCUGGUCAAUAGUCCACACUAGUCAAAGUUCAACUCCCGUCAAGUGUCAACUAUCAAUAUUGACGGAACCACCUUUGCCAUGUGCUCUUCUCAGGGACAUUCACAUACUUCAACGAGUGGCGUCUCGAGUUACGGCGCUACGGUCCGUUAUGGCUACUCGUCCCCACGGGAACCCUCCUACACCCACAUCGUCGACCCCCCUCCCGCCUCCUGACGGCUCCCGCGCUCCACCGGAAGAACCACUUCCAAUGAUCCGCCGGUUCUUCCGGCUCCUCCUUGUCCUACUCUACUUGGCCNNNNNNNNNNNNNNNNNNNNNNNNNNNNNNNNNNNNNNNNNNNNNNNNNNNNNNNNNNNNNNNNNNNNNNNNNNNNNNNNNNNNNNNNNNNNNNNNNNNNNNNNNNNNNNNNNNNNNNNNNNNNNNNNNNNNNNNNNNNNNNNNNNNNNNNNNNNNNNNNNNNNNNNNNNNNNNNNNNNNNNNNNNNNNNNNNNNNNNNNNNNNNNNNNNNNNNNNNNNNNNNNNNNNNNNNNNNNNNNNNNNNNNNNNNNNNNNNNNNNNNNNNNNNNNNNNNNNNNNNNNNNNNNNNNNNNNNNNNNNNNNNNNNNNNNNNNNNNNNNNNNNNNNNNNNNUUACAACCAGCUCGUCGGACGGAUUCCAGUGGGAGGACAGUUAUCAACGUUUGGACAAGAUACCUUCGAAGGCAACGAAGGACUGUGCGGGCCACCGCUGCCGGGGGGGUGCUCGAACGCGAUUGAGAGAGGAGCGGGACCCACUGAUCAAGCUCCAGCGCUCUCUUUCUUCGAUAUUUGUAAUUUUCUAUUCAUCGGAGCAGGUUAUGGAGUAGGACUGGGAGCGGCGAUCGUGAUCAUCGCUCUUCGGUGGAAACGCAUGGAGAAUUGGGCGAUUAUCAAGUCUCCAUCUCUCUUUCGUUGUCUGAUCCACUGAACUUACCUUGAAAAGUAUCAUGUAGAAUCGGAGGUUAACUAGUGAACUGGUGCAGAAUUUGUGUACCUUCGCUGGGCUAGGAUACUUUGGCUACUCUUGAAUAUGUCUCUCUACCAAAUACGGGUUUAUAUAUAGAAGAUUAGUUCCAAUAUGUGUAUCCAAGAUGAGAGGGGCAUACCCUGUUACUAUCAAAAAUACGUUGUGACCAAUGUUUUUAGGAUAUCAUGGGCCUUUGGAAUGCCAUAAUUGUAGCAGCCUCUAGAGCCAAAAUAUCUCCAUAUUGUUUGGAAAUAGUAAUCGAGAGAAGCUUUGUUCUUGCCACUUUCCCUCAAGUGGAAGCAACAUCAACUAGUGAUAAGCGUUUGACUUAGCUUAAGACUAGCUGAAAAUAAUGGCUUUGUAAUUACACCGUAAAUUUGAUCUAAAAUAUAAAUUUGAUGAGUUAUAAAAUUUUGUUGAGAAAAAAUUGAACGAAAAGAUAAUCUCAUAUUUUGUGUGGGAAUGAAAAAAAUGGACUGAUAACAAGAAAUUUAGCUCUAAUAUUAUCCCAAGAUAUCAUUCACAACAAAAGUUUAAGAGCUGACCAUUCAUGAAAAGAUGAUUUGAUCCAUAUGAGCUAGGUUGUAAGCUCAAGAUUAUAAUAUUUUGAUUUUGUGCUGAAUCUAGAAACGGUCUCUUGUUUUUCCAAAAUUAAAAAAAGAGGUUGGGAUCAAAUAUGUCAAUGAUUGAUUUCGCUAACAAUAAAAACCAUCAAAUGCAGAGAUACGUGCAGUUGCAUAAAAUUUCAUUGUUUGCUCACAAUGAAAAUAAUAUUUCAUCAACGUUGUCAGGCUGAUAAAAACACCCACAAAAGUACAAUAACUACAAAGAUUUGGAUGAAGAUCAUCAAAAGAAGGGAGAAUCAACAAGGUCAUAGGCAUUGAUCUAAUGAUUGUGUAAGAAAGGAAAUGAGAUCAUUUUUGCAUUAGAAAUUAAUUGUACAAACCAUCAAACAUCAUAAAGAAAUCAAAUAUUAAGUAACACCAACUAAUUCCUUCAUGUGUGAUGUGUUGGCUUUGAAGAGUCGAAGGUAGGAUAGAAGCUGAGAUGAGUUGGUCUUUUUAGAAUAAAACACGGAUUUCUUGAUUUCCUACUAAAUUUGUAAAAGUGAAAAUGUAUAAUGGUUUGACUCACCUUGCCCACUCUAAUAUCUAGUCCUUGGGCCUCACGAAAUUAUAAUACAAAUGAUGAAAGCCAAGGCUUCAAAUAGCCUUAGCCAACUUAAUUAUUUCUUAUAUUAACGCUGCUUAAAGUUUUUACAACUAAAUUCUAGGGGACAAUUAAAUUAACACCUAAGUAAUCAUUUUUAAAUUCAGAACUCCAAGUCUACCCAAGCACUAGCAAUAUUGAUAACAUACUAAUUCUAUAUAUUAAUAUUGUCAUUCCUACAUGAUUUACAUGUAUCCAUGACUAAAACUAACAUGUUGUCCUAACUAAUUCCUUAAUUAUAAAUUCGACAUAAGAAUUUGCAUUUAAGGCAUCUAAAAUAAAUUUUACUAAUUUAUGUUGAAUUACAUAUUUCAUUAAAUAUUUAUUACUUUUAAUUUAUGAAAUUAAAUGUGCUUAAGUUUUAAAUAAUUAAUAAAUUAAUGAUAAAUAUAAUUUAAUAGAAAUAUUAAGAUUUUAUGCAUGAAAUAAUUUAUUGAUCUAUUCAUAUGUGUAACUAUAUUUUCACCAAUAAUUUUAAAUGCUGAAAAUAUUUAUUCCUCUUUUAUCAAAAGCACUAAUAGUUUUUAUUCAGUUUCUAAUUUUCAAGAUAUGAGGAGGGUAGGUGUAAAAUUAUCAUUAUUAUACAAAUAAAAACCAGUUUAUUAUUAAACUGAAUCAAAAUUAGCAUUAAUUUUGAGAAGCAUUUAAUGGGUCAUGAAGAUGUUUGAAUAUUUUGAAAAAUAAAAUUACCAUUUUAUCCUUAAGUACAUUUUUAUCUAUUUCUAAUCUUUCUUUUAGCAAUGUAUACAAGUGAAUCUAGAGCAUUUCUAACAUAAUCACGUUGUAAGUUCAUGAGGAUAUUCCAAUAUUUUAUUCUCUAAAUCUGCCAUUUUACCCUUGUGUACUCUUUUUUAAUUUCAUACCCAUUCAUGGAACAACUUGAUAACAUUUUAAAACUUUUCAGCAUAAACUGAAAUAUAAAUGACUAUUUUAACUUGAUAUCAAUUUAUUCAUCAUCAAAAUUAUUAAAACUUAAAGAUGUCACAAAUAAGAGAAGCUAAAGUGUUGCUAAUAUGUAAGAACAAUCCAACUAACAAUAACUCAACGUUGAUUGCAAUUAAUGUUAAGAUUUUAAAAACCGUGACAAAAAUCUGUUAUAGUAUCUACCAUGAUUUGACAAGAAUUUAUGUGACAAUGACAAUAAACAUUUUUUAUAAUAUUUUCACUACAAAAAAUUCAAAUGUGUUAAAGGCUAUGAUUUGAAACUGGUAGGAAGAGACUUUGAUGGAAAAAUGGAAAAUAUCCAUGAACAUGGCCAAUAAAGUGGUUCACACAUGUGAGACACCUAGAUAUGCAAAUGGAGAAAAAUAGUUUCAAGAUAUAGGUAUCAAAUUAUCCUGAACUAUCUUUAUUGAAUUUUAUAAUGUUUGAUGGAAACCUUUUGGCCAUUCCUUGCAUCAUAAGAAUGCUUGUUGGUAAAAACCAUUUUACCUAUAAAUAUCUCAAUUUUUUAUCAUUGGCAAAUGAAGGUGUAUGACUGAACAACUCCGCAUAAAACUAUCACACUUCAAACUUUUUAUUGCAUAUUUAUAUGUUUAAGAAGGCCAUCUUGGCAUACAAUUACUAUCACCUAAUUAAAUUUUAAUGCAGUCACAUGCACAAACUGUUAAAGUCACCUUGACAAACCAUCAAUUAAUAUUUAAAUUUCCCAAAAAAGAAUAUACACUUUGUCACCUUUUUCAUCGCCAAAACUAUGGCACACCAAAACGUGCUUUAGUUAUGGAGUCCACAAAUCAAAUUUAUAUAAUUGUGGGAUAAUAUAAGUGAUAGAGCUAAUGAGGAUUUUGUGUAAUAAUUCUUUGCAACUUUCUCUUCUUCCGACCCCAAAUCUUAGACAACGAAAGGGGGAGAUUUCAACGCGGUAGUGAUGAAAGAGACACCGGCGGCCGAGUUGGCAACGGUGGCGAAGCGGCGAUUGGGGAUCGCCCGAGUCCCCACACGGUGGUUGCAGCCCGGUUGGAGUCGUACCGGUCCGGAGAUGAACCAUCUUCCAGCCCCCAACCCGGGCCCGGAAUCGGCACGAGUAUUCGCAACUACCAGUAAUCAGACUCAGCGACGGCGAGUUGGUGGUGGGUGACGUGAGUCCCAACGUCAGCCUUGCCGUCUGACAGAUGACAUUUUGACUCUGAAACGCGUAGCGCCGUAGCAUCCGGCAACAUCGGGGCUGAACUCCGGGCAUGGCCGGGGUUCCGUCGGCGACGCCCCACGUGGGCCAUCGCACUCAGCGAGCCGUUCGGCCGGCUGGCGGGACUAUCUGGUCCGUCACCCUCACGCGGUGGCGGUGGCGGCGGGGCUGGAGAAUCAACAUCCGCUCAGCUUCUCCUUCUUUCCCCCUUCUCCCCCUCCUCCCCCUUCCUUUCUCGCAGCCUCGCUUCUCUCCUUCCGUUCGAUUCCGCCUGGCGGAGCACAGCCACCGUGCCGCCGGUAGGCCACCGCCGUCAUGGAUGAGCGUCCCCUCCGGCACCCUCCUACACCCACAUCGUCGUCCCCUUUUCGCCCCUUGACGGCUUCAUCUCUCCACCGGAAGAACCUCUUCCAAUGAUCCGCCGGUUCUUCCGGCUCCUCCUUGUCCUACUCUGCUCGGUCNNNNNNNNNNNNNNNNNNNNNNNNNNNNNNNNNNNNNNNNNNNNNNNNNNNNNNNNNNNNNNNNNNNNNNNNNNNNNNNNNNNNNNNNNNNNNNNNNNNNNNNNNNNNNNNNNNNNNNNNNNNNNNNNNNNNNNNNNNNNNNNNNNNNNNNNNNNNNNNNNNNNNNNNNNNNNNNNNNNNNNNNNNNNNNNNNNNNNNNNNNNNNNNNNNNNNNNNNNNNNNNNNNNNNNNNNNNNNNNNNNNNNNNNNNNNNNNNNNNNNNNNNNNNNNNNNNNNNNNNNNNNNNNNNNNNNNNNNNNNNNNNNNNNNNNNNNNNNNNNNNNNNNNNNNNNNNNNNNNNNNNNNNNNNNNNNNNNNNNNNNNNNNNNNNNNNNNNNNNNNNNNNNNNNNNNNNNNNNNNNNNNNNNNNNNNNNNNNNNNNNNNNNNNNNNNNNNNNNNNNNNNNNNNNNNNNNNNNNNNNNNNNNNNNNNNNNNNNNNNNNNNNNNNNNNNNNNNNNNNNNNNNNNNNNNNNNNNNNNNNNNNNNNNNNNNNNNNNNNNNNNNNNNNNNNNNNNNNNNNNNNNNNNNNNNNNNNNNNNNNNNNNNNNNNNNNNNNNNNNNNNGCCUUCUCCCGCAGGCUGGCUGCCUCCGGGCAAUGCCUCCCCGAGCAAAGCGCCGCGCUCCUCCGUCUGAAACAGGGAUUCACCCCCCCUGCCCGCCGCAACGGCUCUUCCAUUCUUCCUUCCUGGAAGGAGGGCACGGACUGCUGCCGCGGCUGGGCCGGCGUCACCUGCGAAGGGGCAUCCGGUAGCGUCGUCGCACUCGACCUCAGCGGAUCAUCCAUAUCCGGUGGCGUUGACAAGGCUCUCUUCGAUCUCACCUCCCUCCGCUCUCUCGACCUCGCCUGUAACAACUUGAAUUUCUCCACCAUACCUUCUCCCAGCUUCGAGCGGCUGACCAACCUCACCCACCUCAACCUCUCCGAUUCAGGCAUCUCCGGUAGCCUCCCCGUCGGUAUAUCCCGCCUGACCAGCCUAGUCUCGCUAGAUCUCUCCACCCCUGGUCGUUGUUCAUCAUCUUCUUUAACGCUCCAGGAUCCCGAUCUCCCCACACUGAUCCGAAACCUCUCCAACCUCCGUCAGCUCUACCUCGAUGGAGUCAACAUCUCCGCCGGAGGACGCGAUUGGGGCCGGGCGUUGUCUUCCUACGUGCCCAACCUCCACGAGCUCAGCCUGUCCGGCUGUUCGCUCUCCGGUCCCAUCGACGACUCCUUCUCCGCCCUCAAGUCCCUUGUCGUCCUCCGCCUAAAUCAGAACAACCUGAAUACCGAGGUGCCGGAAUUCUUCGGUGAUCUCUCCUUGUUAAGACUGCUUCGUUUAAACGCCUGCGGCCUCCGCGGAUCGCUCCCUAGAAGAAUUUUCCAGCUCCCCUUCCUGGAGACCCUCGACCUGACGCGGAAUCCCUCUCUAUCUGGGAGUUUACCCGACUUUCCACCGGGCACCGUUCUGGAAGACCUGGUGCUGUCCGCCACAAAUUUAUCCGGCGCUCUGCCGGACUCCAUCGGCAACCUCCGGCUUCUGAAGACCUUGCAACUGACCUCCUGUAGGUUCUCCGGUCCACUGCCCGCUUCCUUUCAAAAUCUGACGCGGUUGGUCACCGUCGAUCUCUCAAUGAAUAACUUCAGUGGCCCCAUCCCUUCCUUCGCGUCGUCUCCCAACAUCUCGAAGAUCGAUCUCCAGAACAAUUCUCUCUCCGGACCACUUCCUGGAUGGAUCUUCAGCCUCCGAUCUCUCCAGUCCCUGCAACUCAACUCGAAUCGACUCUAUGGAACCCUCCCUGAGCUCCCCCCGCCCGCAGACUCCGUGCUGGAGACACUGGAUCUGACAAGCAACAGGCUUCAGGGACCCGUUCCGAGGUCCAUCUCGAGGUUGCAGCACCUCAAGAUCCUCAAGCUCGCUUCUAAUAACCUCAACGGCACGCUGGAGCUCAGCCUCUUCGGAACCUCGAGAACAUCUCCAUUCUCGAUCUUUCGUACAAUCGCUUGACCGUCCAGACCAACCCAGCCGCCGCCUUGCCGAACGUCAGCACCCUGAACUUAGCGUUUUGCAGUCUCGAGGGGUUCCCGUCGCUCCUGAAAGACCUACCGAGAUUGAACAGGCUCGACCUCUCCGGCAACAACAUCAGUGGUGCCAUCCCCGACUGGCUGUGGAGCGUGGGCUCCCUCGACUACCUGAAUCUUUCUCACAACUCCCUUACGGAGUUCGAGAGCUCGCCG